AUGAAUAGUUACCGCCGCUGUAAAGAUCUCGUGCCACCGCCUGUUAAUACAGCACCCCACCGAGGGCAUUUUCGUAAUUUUGCUACAUGGUAUAAAAGUGCAAGACCCAGGGUUUCUCCCCAAUCGGCUUCGUCCCUUCUUCCUGUUCACUCUGAGGGAGAGCCGCUGCCGCCCCCUCCCAUUCCAAACUCCUCUCUUCCCCGCCUCCCCUCGCCCUAUCGACCAUCCUCCCCGUCCGCCGCCACCACCGACCAGUCGCAGCCACGCUACCAUCCCCUCCCUGUUCCUCUCCCGUGGGAAGUCCUCCGAGAAGCAGCCCAAGGGCAGCCGCCUCCCGCUCGGUGGCCGAACGCCGGGAAGCGCCGCUGCUUUGGCUCCGCCAUCUCCUUCGCCCUGCCUGUCGGAUCCACGCCGUCGUCCUCGCGUGCACACGGCAGGUGCUCCGCCUCUUCCUCUUGUCCGGCCAGAUCCAUGGCGCACGGCCUCUCGCGCUCGCUCGCGACCCUGAACCGUGGCAAGGGUUUCAGGCUGGGCAUCGGCUUCGUCGUCGGCGUGGCUCCGGUGGAUUCCGGCGGCUCCUCUCCGUCUCCUCUCUCGCCCCCAUGCGCGGCUCCGCUUCCUGCUGGCCAUGGGGUGCAGCCUUGCAUCGUCCUCUUCUCCUUUUCCUUCUCUGGCAAAUUUUGUGUUGGUUCACUGCUCAAUUUCUUUGGUUAA
This 714-nucleotide ribosomal RNA is filed under the name Triticum aestivum (bread wheat). RNAcentral's name for it is "partial small subunit ribosomal RNA". The record is from RNAcentral. Lineage: Eukaryota; Viridiplantae; Streptophyta; Magnoliopsida; Poales; Poaceae.